This is an RNA transcript of Zea mays, 2032 nucleotides long. RefSeq lists it as uncharacterized. The transcript is spliced from 5 exons. The record is from RefSeq and is marked validated. Lineage: Eukaryota; Viridiplantae; Streptophyta; Magnoliopsida; Poales; Poaceae.
GACCGAACAUAGCCAGCGGCACCCAAGAUAAAAGUCGUAUAAUCGCAGUCGCAGAUACCAAAGCAUAGCUCCGAACACUGCCUCUGUUCAUCUGCCUGGUAGAGGUAGCACGCCAGAUCACCAGCGAUCCGCACGUCGCAGCAGAGCAAAGAUAUCGCGGGGAGCAAGAGUAGUCAACGCACGAAUGGUGGGCACGGUGUCGCUAGCGGCGGGCUACGGCUCCGAUGGCGUGUACCGCUCGCCGCGCCUGGUGGCUGCCAUCGCCUCCGACCCGGGCCUCUCCGUCACGGACCUCGUCCUUCGCCGCGCCGCGGCGUGCCCCUCCGCACCCGCGCUCGUGGACGCCGCGACGGGCCGCGCCCUCACCUUCGGGGCCCUCCGAUCCGCGGUGCUCGUCGCGGCCGCCGCGCUCUCCUCCCGCGCGGGCGUCCGCCGCGGCGACGCCGUGCUGCUCCUCGCGCCCAACUGCGUGCUCUACCCGGUCUGCUUUCUCGCCGUCACCGCGCUCGGCGCCGUCGCGACCACGGCUAACCCGCUCUACACCCCGCGGGAGAUCGCCAAGCAGGCCGCCGACGCCCGCGCCAGGCUCGUCGUCACCGUCUCCGAUCUCCUGCCCAAGAUCUCCGGUCUCCGCCUCCCUAUCGUCCUCCUCGACGGCGACGGCGCCCCCGUGCCUUCGGGCUGCCCCAGCAGUAACGUCACUCUCUACUCGGACCUCGUCGCCGGGGUGCAGGAGGCGGAGUACCGCCACACGCCGAUCGGGCAGGGCGACACAGCGGCGCUGUUCUACUCGUCGGGCACGACUGGGGAGAGCAAGGGCGUCGUGCUCACGCACCGCAACUUCAUCGCGGCAGCGACGAUGGUGACGUCGGACCAGGACGAGCUGGGGGAAGGCCACAACGUGUUCCUCUGCUUCCUGCCCAUGUUCCACAUCUUCGGCAUGUCCGUGAUCACCCUCGGCCAGCUGCAGCGCGGCAACGCCGUCGUCGUGAUGGCCCGGUUCGACGUCGACGCCGUGCUGGCCGCCAUCGAGCGGCACCGCGUCACGUACCUCUUCUGCGCCCCGCCGGCGAUGAUCGCGCUCGCCAAGCACAGCAGGGGCGGCAGGUACGACCUCAGCUCGCUCAGAUGCAUCGGCUCUGGCGCCGCGCCGCUCGGCAAGGACGUCAUGGUGGCUAUGGCUGACAGGUUCCCCGGUGUCGACAUUAUCCAGGGUUAUGGUAUGACUGAAACCUGCGGGAUAAUAUCCCUGGAGUACGUACAGAAGGGUUGUGCCCGUCAGUUUGGUUCGACUGGAGCACUUGUCACAGGAGUUGAAGCAAAGAUCGUUAAUGCAAAGACAAUGAAGCAUCUUCCUCCGAGCCAACUAGGAGAAAUCUGUGUUCGAGGACCGAACAUAAUGGAAGGCUAUUUCAACAAUGUGCAAGCGACUGAGUCUACAAUCAAGAAUGGAUGGUUGCAUACCGGUGAUCUUGGAUACUUCGAUGAAAGAGGCCAGCUUCAUGUUGUCGAUAGACUUAAAGAACUGAUUAAGUACAAAGGCUUCCAGGUAUCCUGAUGCUGAAGCGGGGGAAGUUCCUAUCGCCUACGUUGUACUAUCACCGAAGAGUUCACUGGCCGAAGCUGAUGUCCAGAAAUUUAUCGAGAAACAGGUCGCGCACUACAAGAGGCUGAGGAAGGUAACGUUCGUGGGCAGCGUACCGAAAUCUGCUGCGGGGAAGAUUUUGAGGAGAGAGCUCAUCGCCCAAGUCAGACUGUCCAAGCUGUAGCAGAUUUAAUCUCGAUUUCACUGCAGCCCUUGUCGUCUGGGUUCUGCUGGACACAGAAGUGCAGAAUCUCUGCUGAGCACUGUACAAGAUUUGUCUAUCAAGUCACUGUCAGGAACCACACAUUUCAGUCUAGACAUGCCAGACACUGAUUUCUUUUUUUUGUUAAGGAAUAAAGCAUUCUGGCCUCUAGUAUCCACGGAUGAAUGAUGUAUCCUAUAUUGCUUGGAUUCUUCAAGAAAGUUAAAGUAAUAUAUAAUACUACA